RNAcentral lists this ribosomal RNA (448 nucleotides) under uncultured bacterium. Its description in RNAcentral is "bacterial SSU rRNA". It matches the Rfam family "Bacterial small subunit ribosomal RNA", at positions 64 to 507 of the family's 1533-position model. The record is from RNAcentral.
GAGCGGAUGACGGGAGCUUGCUCCUUGAUUCAGCGGCGGACGGGUGAGUAAUGCCUAGGAAUCUGCCUGGUAGUGGGGGACAACGUUUCGAAAGGAACGCUAAUACCGCAUACGUCCUACGGGAGAAAGCAGGGGACCUUUGGGCCUUGCGCUAUCAGAUGAGCCUAGGUCGGAUUAGCUAGUUGGUGGGGUAAUGGCUCACCAAGGCGACGAUCCGUAACUGGUCUGAGAGGAUGAUCAGUCACACUGGAACUGAGACACGGUCCAGACUCCUACGGGAGGCAGCAGUGGGGAAUAUUGGACAAUGGGCGAAAGCCUGAUCCAGCCAUGCCGCGUGUGUGAAGAAGGUCUUCGGAUUGUAAAGCACUUUAAGUUGGGAGGAAGGGCAGUAAGUUAAUACCUUGCUGUUUUGACGUUACCGACAGAAUAAGCACUGGCUAACUCUGUG